UUUGAGCUUAUAAGAUGCCAUAGGAACUGAAUCUCACAGGUGUUGAACUGAAAAACUAAAAGUGUAAUGCUAUUUUUUUACUUAUUAUGUAGGUUAAACGCAAGGAUCACUCUACUGGUUGAUUUUUCAAUUGGCUGUUGUAGUGCAAGUUCGGUUUUGUUGGAAAGUUGUACGAUGAUGGAUGAAUGUUAAACGAGGUUUGAGAUCGAGUAGGCUAAAAAAAAAAUCAUCGCAGAAGGAACCGUGUCAGCUUGAUGAUGGAUAGCCUUUUUCUUACCGAGUCUAUAUUUCUGGAGAUGGCUUGCAACAUAUUCCUUGGUAAUUCCAUCAACAUUCAUCAAAGUAACAUUUUUUCUUGGAACAGCCUCGUGUAAAGCCAAGUAAAUGAACAGCAAGGAGUAACUUUACAUGAAGGUGAGGAGACCAUACCACACGAGGUUUCUUAUUAUGUGACAAAGAGACAUUGUCAUCAUCAUCUUGCACUUUCUUCCUUUUGCCCAUUCUGUUAAUCAUCGAAGCCAUCUUAAUAGACAAUUGAAGUGAAAGUGUAAAAUAUACUAAUAUAUAGACAACUUUGGGUGAAAGUGCGAUUGUGUUAUUAAAUUUGUAUUGAAUGUAAAAUGAAAUGGUAUUUUGGAUUAAUGAAAAAUCAUGGAAUUAGAAUGUGUAUUAAA
This is a long non-coding RNA of Lathyrus oleraceus (garden pea), 674 nucleotides long. RefSeq lists it as uncharacterized. The transcript has 2 exons. The record is from RefSeq and is a predicted model, not a curated record. NCBI's taxonomy places the organism in Eukaryota, Viridiplantae, Streptophyta, Magnoliopsida, Fabales, Fabaceae.